This 425-nucleotide ribosomal RNA is filed under the name uncultured bacterium. Its description in RNAcentral is "bacterial SSU rRNA". It matches the Rfam family "Bacterial small subunit ribosomal RNA", at positions 354 to 796 of the family's 1533-position model. The record is from RNAcentral.
GUGGGGAAUAUUGGACAAUGGGCGCAAGCCUGAUCCAGCAAUGCCGCGUGGAUGAAGAAGGUCUUCGGAUUGUAAAGUCCUUUCGGCGGGGACGAUGAUGACGGUACCCGCAGAAGAAGCCCCGGCUAACUUCGUGCCAGCAGCCGCGGUAAUACGAAGGGGGCUAGCGUUGCUCGGAAUGACUGGGCGUAAAGGGCGUGUAGGCGGCUUGGAUAGUCGGGUGUGAAAUUCCUGGGCUCAACCUGGGGGCUGCAUCCGAGACAUCUGGGCUCGAGUGGGGAAGAGGGUCGUGGAAUUCCCAGUGUAGAGGUGAAAUUCGUAGAUAUUGGGAAGAACACCGGUGGCGAAGGCGGCGACCUGGUCCUUGACUGACGCUGAGGCGCGAAAGCGUGGGGAGCAAACAGGAUUAGAAACCCUUGUAGUCC